CNCAUGCGGUUUAAGCGGAAACGACACUAACAACCUCCUGUCGGUNUGCGUUGAAUGGGCGUCGAGCGGCGGACGGGUGAGUAAUGCCUAGGAAAUUGCCUUGAUGUGGGGGAUAACCAUUGGAAACGAUGGCUAAUACCGCAUAAUGCCUACGGGCCAAAGAGGGGGAUCUUCGGACCUCUCGCGUCAAGAUAUGCCUAGGUGGGAUUAGCUAGUUGGUGAGGUAAUGGCUCACCAAGGCGACGAUCCCUAGCUGGUCUGAGAGGAUGAUCAGCCACACUGGAACUGAGACACGGUCCAGACUCCUACGGGAGGCAGCAGUGGGGAAUAUUGCACAAUGGGCGAAAGCCUGAUGCAGCCAUGCCGCGUGUAUGAAGAAGGCCUUCGGGUUGUAAAGUACUUUCAGUUGUGAGGACAGGGUGUGUCAGUUAAUAGCUGCGCAUCUUGACGUUAGCAACAGAAGAAGCACCGGUAACUCCGUGCCAGCAGCCGCGGUAUACGGAGCGGUGCGAGCGUUAAUCGGAAUUACUGGGCGUAAAGCGCAUGCAGGUGGUUUCAUUACGGUCAGAUGUGAAAAGCCCCGGGGCUCAACCUCGGAACUGCAUUUUGAAACUGGUGAACUAGAGUUGCUGUAAGACGGGGGUAGAAAUUCUCNAGGUGUNCGCGGNGACACAUUGCGUGCGAGAUCUGGACAGGANAUACA
Molecule: ribosomal RNA, 703 nt
Filed under: Vibrio sp. UST050418-170
Lineage: Bacteria; Pseudomonadati; Pseudomonadota; Gammaproteobacteria; Vibrionales; Vibrionaceae
Description: bacterial SSU rRNA
Rfam family: Bacterial small subunit ribosomal RNA
Source: RNAcentral